This 460-nucleotide ribosomal RNA is filed under the name uncultured Gammaproteobacteria bacterium. RNAcentral describes it as "bacterial SSU rRNA". It matches the Rfam family "Bacterial small subunit ribosomal RNA", at positions 57 to 510 of the family's 1533-position model. Lineage: Bacteria; Pseudomonadati; Pseudomonadota; Gammaproteobacteria. The record is from RNAcentral.
GCAAGUCGAACGGUAACGGGCCCUUCGGGGUGCCGACGAGUGGCGGACGGGUGAGUAAUGCAUCGGAAUCUGCCCCGUAGUGGGGGAUAACCCGGGGAAACUCGGGCUAAUACCGCAUACGCUCUACGGAGGAAAGAGGGCCUCUGACUCAAGCUCUCGCUAUUGGAUGAGCCGAUGUCCGAUUAGCUUGUUGGUAGGGUAAAGGCCUACCAAGGCAACGAUCGGUAGCUGGUCUGAAAGGAUGAUCAGCCACACUGGGACUGAGACACGGCCCAGACUCCUACGGGAGGCAGCAGUCGGGAAUAUUGGACAAUGGGCGCAAGCCUGAUCCAGCAAUGCCGCGUGUGUGAAGAAGGCCUGCGGGUUGUAAAGCACUUUCAGCAGGGAAGACGGCGUCCGGUGCUAAUACCACCGGGGGUUGACGUUACCUGCAGAAGAAGCGCCGGCUAACUCCGUGCCA